CUACGGGGCGCUGCAGUGAGGAAUUUUGCGCAAUGGGGGGAACCCUGACGCAGCAACGCCGCGUGAGUGAUGAAGGCUUUCGGGUCGUAAAGCUCUGUCAAGUGGGAAGAACCUAUGCAGUGUUAAUAUCACUGUAUACUGACGGUACCACUGAAGGAAGCACCGGCUAACUCCGUGCCAGCAGCCGCGGUAAUACGGGGGGUGCAAGCGUUAUUCGGAAUCAUUGGGCGUAAAGGGCACGUAGGCGGCUUGGUAAGUCAGAUGUGAAAGCCCGGGGCUUAACCCCGGAAGUGCAUUUGAUACUGUCAGGCUUGAGUAUGGGAGAGGGAAGUGGAAUUCCUGGUGUAGAGGUGAAAUUCGUAGAUAUCAGGAGGAACACCGGUGGCGAAGGCGACUUCCUGGACCAAUACUGACGCUGAGGUGCGAAGGCGUGGGUAGCAAACAGGGUUAGAUACCCUCGUAGUC
This 465-nucleotide ribosomal RNA is filed under the name uncultured bacterium. RNAcentral describes it as "partial 16S ribosomal RNA". It matches the Rfam family "Bacterial small subunit ribosomal RNA", at positions 339 to 795 of the family's 1533-position model. The record is from RNAcentral.